Molecule: long non-coding RNA, 19819 nt
Filed under: Cinara cedri
Lineage: Eukaryota; Metazoa; Arthropoda; Insecta; Hemiptera; Aphididae
Source: RNAcentral
AGGAAUCCAUUUUAAGAUAUGAUAACUUUGUUAGAGAACAUCAAAAUUUUGAUUUAAGCUAUAAAGAGUUUAUUGAUUUAGUUAAAUGUCUGUCAGAAGAACUAAAACAACAUAGUGAAAUUGUUGGUGAUUUAGGGCUUUUACAAGUAUAUAUAAUAACUAUAUAAUUACUAAUUUUCUUUCUGAAAUUAUUUAAUUUAAUUAUUUAUAUAUAAAGGCAAGACAAAAGAAACUAUUGGCAAUAUCUGACUCAAAAUGUCAACAAAGUGUACAAUAUGAGUCUCUUGCAAAUAUGGCAGAAAAACUAUACGUCCAAACUUCUCCAGAUGGAAGAGAAAUCAUACGACAACAAAUGAAGUAUGUAUAAAUUAAUUUUAUAUAUAAAUGGUCUAUGAUAUUAAUUUAUUUAAAUUUAAGGGAUUUGAGAAUUUCAUGGGAGUUAGUUUCUGAAAGUUUACAAUCAAGUCUUGAAAAACUAGAAAAUUGCUUAUUGCAGUUUGCAGAGUUUUCACUAUCACAAGAACAAUUAACUAAGUGGCUCAAAAAUAUUGAGCAAGCUAUGCAACAACACACUGAAACAAAAGCCACUUUACAAGAGAAAAAAGCUCAACUUCAGGUACUUGCAUUGUAAAAUCUGCCUAAAAAGAUUAUUUUAUAGUAUAUUAUUAUUUUUAAUCAUAUUUAUUUGGAAAUUAGAACCACGUUGUAAUAAAUCAAGAAAUAUUGUCUCAUCAAACACUUGUACAAUCAGUAUGCGAUAAGGCUCAAGAACUUGUAAAUCAAACUAGGGAUAAUACUUUAAAUACAUAUUUAGAAUCAAUUAAAUACCUAUAUGAAAAAAUUGUUACGAAAUCUAAGGUGAUUUUUUAUUAUAAAUUACAGAUAUUUAGUAAAUUCAAAUUAAAUAAUUUUGUGAUUAACUAGGAGCUAAUGGACUCAUUAGAGCUUUCAGUUCAAAAUCAUUCAGAAUUUAAUCUUGUUUGUCAAAAACUUAGGCUGAUGAUAAAAGAACAACGUGAUAAAAUAAGAGAUAGUGACAACAUUGCUGUUGAAAAAGACAUAAUUGUCAAAAAAAUUAAUAUUUUUAAAGUAAAUAUAUACUGGAAUAUAAAUAAUUUGUGUUCAUAAUUUGAAUAUUAUAAUCCUGUUGUAGGAAAUGAAAACAUCAAAUAUAACAGAAAAUGAUUUACAAAAUCAUCUUGAACAAAUAUUUCAGUUAGUAAGCAAAUCAACUACAAAAAAAGGAAUUAAUGUUAUGAAAAAAGAAAUAUCAAAAAUAGAUAGUGAUAAGUCACAAUUAAUAGUACAACUUGGUAAAUAAUAUUAAAAUUUACUUUUUAUAAUCACCCACACAUAAUAGCUAAAAACAAUUUUUUCACUUAUAGUUAGUGAAUCUUUUAAAAGAUUUAAUCUCAAAAGGCCUGUAAAAAAAACUUACUUAAUUCUUGUAUCCCAUUUAAGAUUUAUUUAUUAUAAAUUUAACUUAUUGAUAUUGAAUUAAUAUAUAUAUUAUUAAAUGUUUAUUAAAUCUCUAAUUAGAUUAGCUUAUAAUUGUUAUUAAUGUAUAAGAUAAGUUUAUAAUAAUAAACUUUGGUUUCAGAUACUAUUAUUGAAAAAAUGGAGGAUAUUUUGGUGCAAUGGACUGAUUUUGAAAAUGAAUUUGAGGAAAUAACAAGUUGGUUCAGAUCAACAGAAUUGCUUAUUAAAGAUCAACAACUACAAGCAACAUUUGAAACCAAGGAAAAUAAAUUCAAACAUUUUACGGAAAAACGAAAUGAAGUAUUACAAUAUGAACCAAAAAUUGAGAAAUUUAUCGAUAAUUCUAAUAAUUUGUUACACACAAGUGGAGUAGAACGUCUAAAACCACUUAUACUUCAAGUAGGAAACCGGUAAGAAAAACAUAAUUAGUUUAAAAAAAAAUGUUUGUAUUAUAAAUUUGUUUAUUGUAAUAUCAAUAAUUAUUUAUGUGUACCAGGUAUCAAUUACUUCUAGUUUUAAGUAAAGAAAUAGUGGCUAAAUGGCAAAACAUUUCUGAUGACCAUAAGAACUUUAAUGAUAAGUUGGCUGAAUUCAAAUUAUGGUUAGAAAUAUUAGAAAAUAAACCUGAUCCAAUUUUGAAUGAUGAUAAUUUAGAUUUAAAUAAAAAAUUAUCACAAUUACAAAGUUUGUAUAGUAGUUCUGAUCAAACAUCAUCAAAAAUUUCAUUUUUAACUUCUUUGGGUGAGAGUUUAUACCCUGAUACAUCUGCUACAGGACGAGAAAUCAUUAGGCAACAACUUACAGAAAUUCGUGAAAGGUAUCUUAAAUAUUUUUAUAUUGUUAAUUUAGAAACAUUUCUACAAAAAAUGUUUAUUGUAACUGAUUUAUUUAUUAUUAACAGAUGGGAUACAUGGGAUGAAAAAAUUAAAACUGCUCAAAAAUCUCUAGGAGUACAAUCCCAACAAUGGAAUAGUUAUCAAGAAACCCUUUUACAAACUAUAAAUUGGUUGGAAAGUGUAGAAAAAGCCAUUGCCUCUAAUCAAACAUCUAUAUGGUCUUCUCUACAAGAAAUAAGAUCAAAACUUUUAAAGCAAAAAGUAAAUAUACAAAAUAAAAUAAAAUAAAAUGCUACUAAUCAAUAUCAAUUAUAUUAUAGGUAAAUAAUUCAUUUUUUUUUUUUUAGGCCACAAUGCAAGAAAUAAACUCUCAUAGUCGGAUGAUUGAAACAAUAUUGGAGAAAGGAAAAACAAUUAAGAAACCUAAAGAUGAAAAUAAUUCAGAAAUAUCAUUGAAGGAUAGAUAUGAUUUAUUACGUGAAAAAAUGAAUAAUUCUAUUUCACAAUUAGAGAAUUACUUAGAAACCUAUCAGCAAUAUCAAGACUUACUUAAAUCAUAUCAAGAUACUCAAAAACAGCUUUGGGAUCAACUUUCAAUAUAUACAGGUUUAUAAAUCAUAAUGUUAUUAUCAUUCUAGAACUUUAAUAAUAAUGUAAAAAUUAAAAUUAUUUUAGAUUAUUCAGGAAAUAAACAAAUUUUAGAAAUGCGAUUGAAUAAAGUUAAUGUUAUACAAACUACUUUUGAUAACAAUAAAACAACUUUAAUGGCAAUGGAACAUUUUAUUGAAAACUUAAAGGAUACAAUUCCACAAAAAGCAAUUGAUAUGAUGUCGAGGGAUCAUACAAAUUUACAGUAAAAAUUUUAAAAAAAGAAGCUAGUUGAAGAUAUAAUUAGAUACACCUAAUUUCAUUAUAGAUUUGAACAAGAAAAGUUCCAGUCAUUGUUAAAUGAUUUAUUAGAUGGUUUACAAAGUAGAAUAGUUCAAUGGGUAGAGUUUGAAAAUUUAAUUCAUCAGUUAGCUUCAUGGCAUAAUGAUACAGAAAAAAAGUUACAAAACUAUUCAGAGAAGGGUACACUUGAAGAAAAAACACAACAAUAUAAUAAAUUUCAGGUAUAAAUUUUAUAUUUAAUUCACACAAAAGAGAAAUACUAGGUUUUAUCUACACUCACACUCAUCAUUAGUGUUAUCUUAAUAUAAAUAUAUAGAUAUUAUGUUUUUAUAUGAUUUAUUAUUAUUACUUAUAAUAAUAUAUAAUUAACAGUGGGUGUAACAUAUGGUGGAUAUUGGUGUUAAAACAUCCCAAAUAUCAGAAAAAUAAACAACUAAUAAUAAAAAUUCCAUUGAUUUAAAAUGUAUUUUAAGUUAUUAACGUAAGAAAUUCUAAUGAGAUCCUUUAUUUUUUCUGAGUCAUAGUUUUGUAUUGUGUCAGUGUUACAAUAUGUAAUUAAAAUAAUAACAAUGAAAUUAAAAUACAAAUGAAUAAUUUAUUAAAUUAAUAGGUAUAAUAAUUUUGUAAAUUAAUAUUAUUAUAGUAUUAUAAAAUUUAGUUUUGAAUUUAAUUUAGGAUUUAGAAAAAGAAAUUAAAGGAAAAUUGAACGCAGUGAAGGAUUUAAUUGCAUAUGGUGAUCAUCUUCAACAAGUAAGAUUUAUUCAAAGAAAAUGAAUAUUGCAUGCACCGUGUUAUUAAUUUUUUUAAUAAGCCAAGUAUAAUUUGACACAAAAAUAUUGUCAAAUAAAACAAAUUAUAUAAUUUCACUUUAAUUUAUAAAUUGUAUAUAAUUGUUUAUAAAAAAAUACUUUUAAGAUUAUUUUAAAUUUAAAAUAUUGAUUAAUGUUAAUUUGUUACUAUGUUAUAGUCAUUAUUGGAUGACAUGAAAAAGAAAGAUUUAAAUGUUGAUAAACUUAUUGAUCAAGCUAAUGAACAAGAGGCAACAGGUGAAGCACGAUUAUCAACCAGAGUCAAACAGAUAUCAUCUCGUUAUCAAUCGAUGCAAACUACCAUUAAAGUAAAAAUAAAUAAUGUUUUAAAUUAGUUAAAAUUAAUUUGUUUUAUAUUAUUUCAGGACAUUUUAAAUAAAUGCCAUGAAUCGAUUAAAAUUCAUCAAGAAUAUAUAGACAAGUAUAAUGAAUGUUCUAUUCAAUUUUCAAACAUUCAAAGUCAAUUUAAAAAUGUCAAUGAACCUCCAUUAUCCUCACAAGCUAUACAUCAAUAUUUAAUUCAGAAAAAUGGAAAAUUAAAUGAAUUGUUAGAUACAAAACCAAAUGUUACAUCUUUGUUGAAUAAUUGUAUUGAAUUAGGAGAAAAAUUAUAUUUGAGUACAUCUAUAUCUGGAAGAGAUGACAUUAAACGUCAGUUAGAAGAACUUCAAAUCCUAUUUGAUACUUUAUAUGAUGAUCUUUUAAAUAUUAAUAGAGAUGUUAAAGAUCAAUUAACUAAAUGGAGUGGAUUUGAAGAGCUAUAUAAUGAAUUAAAUAAAUGGUUCAACAGCACUAAACAAAUAUUAAAUAAAGAUUUAGUGCUUAAAUCUACUUUAGAUGAAAAAAAAAUGCAAUUACAAAUCUAUAGAGACAUGCUACAAGCUACAUUAAAAAGGAAACAAGAUAUUGUGAAAUUACAUGAUCUUACUGACAGAAUGCAAAUGCGAGAAAAUAAUGAUAUUCUUAUAUCUUCUAUGAAUAAACAACAUGAUGACAUUUUAAAACUAAUUCAAGACUUUGUUGAUAAAUAUGAAGCAAUUGUAAAAGACCAUGAACAAUAUACUAAGUCUGUAAUGGAAAUGCAAGAAUGGCUUGACGCAACUCAUAAUACAAUAAUACUCUGGGGUGAUACAAAUUUAGAAAAAAUUUCUUUAUUGAGUAAUUUAGAUCGAAUUAAGGUAAAUAAGAAUUGAAGUUAUUGUCCAUUAUAAAUAUUUCAUACUUAUGAUUAAUUUUGUGUUUAUUAUGUAUAAUCAUAUUUUUCAGAAUUUAUUAUUAAGCCUUACAGAAGAAGAAAAUAGAAUUCAUAAUAUACAAAAACUAGCUGAAAAAGUUAUACCUGGUACAGUGGAAAAUGGACAAGUGAAUAUUAGGGCACAAAUUGACUCAUCACAACAAGAUUGGGAAGGACUUAUUACUACAGUAAAGUAAGAACACAGAUAUAUAAAUAUGUGUAAUGAGUAUGCUCUUUCUUAUAUGUUUUUUAGAAUAUUUUAGUAAUAAUAAUGUAGUUUUAAUUGUACAAAAUAAAAUUGGAACAUUAUUUUUUUUAAUAAAUAUAACUAUAUAGUAUAUAUUAUCUUUAUUAUUCUAUGAAAAAAAUAAAUUAUAUGUUUAGAUCAUCAAUAGAAGCUUUAGAAAAUAAACUUAAUAGUUGGAAUGAAUUUGAUACACUUAAGGAAUCAUGUUUAAUAUGGUUACGAGAAACUGAUUAUAAAAUACAUGCUAUUGAUUUGAAAAACUCAUUACAAGAAAAGAAAACUCAGCUUGAAGAACUUAAGGUUGUUUUAAUAAUUAUAUAAUUUAAAUAUACAAUUUAUAUUAUUAUAUUUUAAUUAUUAUUUAUAAUAAAUAACUAUAUAUAUAUUAAUUAUAGGAUUUACAAGGAGUAAUUCGAGCUAAAGAAUUUGAGAUUGAUUCAAUUACUGAAAAAUCACAAAAUCUGUAUACAAUGUCUAUGUCAAGUAAAAAUUCUCAGAUUACAGAAAUUGUUCAAAAAUUUCAUCAGCUUUCAAUGAAAAUAAAAGUAUUUGUGUUAAUUAUUAUUAAUUUUUAAAUUAUAAUUUAUUGGUUUUUUUUUUUAUAAUUUCAAGGAAUUGGUUGGGAAAUGGCAACAAUUUGUUAACAACCACUUAGAAUUUGAAAGUAGUCUAAGUGAAGCUAUUAUUUGGUUGGAUACUGUUGACGAUAAACUCACAAGUUGUACAGAUUUUAAAUCCACUAGUAAAGCUGAUUUAGAAGAAAAACUCAUUGUCAUCCAAGUAAAUAUAAAAAACUAAUAUUAAUAUAGUUAAAGUAUACAUUUAACUACAUCUAGAACAAUGAUUUAUUUAUUAUAAUUUUGAAGUAUUCAAAUAAAUUUAAAACAUUAGUUUUAAUUCUAUAUAAUAGUUAUUACAGUUAAAAUCUCUAUUAAUGGACACCUCUCAAUAAUGAAUCCUUCCUAAUAGUGAACACUUUUAAAUUCCCCUGCAUAAAUGUAUAUAAUAAGAGUUAUAACCUCUUAAUAGUGGAUGUGGACACUUAGAACUGGUACCAAAAUUAAAAAUUACCUCUUAUAAAUGGACACAAUACAUGUACAUACCGAAAAUGUUUAAGUAAUAAAAAUAUCAUACAUAUUUAUUUUUAUAAAUUUUGUUUAUAUUUUAUGUUAUCUUAAGAGAACGUUAUCUUGCAUUUACUGUUUCAGUGCAACUACCAAGUAACAUACAAAAACAAUGCUUAUGCGGAAUAGGUAAAAACAAGCUUAAUUUUGAUUUUAGAGUAAAAGUACCUAUUAUUAUGAAAUUUAUAAAGAAUAAUAUUUUAGAGAGAAUGUCAUAGAUGUUUUUUGAAUUGUGAAAUAUUAAAAAAUAAAAAAUAAUAAAGGUUUUUGUAUCUUUUAUAUCGAGCUUUAUAUUUUGAAUAAUACAAAAUCCCUAUGAAAUUCCUUCCAAAUAUUGUUCUCUAUAAAUUUAAUUAUACAUACUUUUACUCUAAAAUCAAAAUUAAACUAGUUUUGCUUAUUCUGUGUAAUCAUUGUUUUUGCAUGUUACCUACCCGGUAGUUGAACUGAAAUAGUAUAUGUGAGUAUAACGUUCUCUUAAUGGUUUUCCUAUUCGAUAAAUGACAAAUGGUUUGGUUAUGUGUUCGGUCAUCAGUUGUGUACUAAAAACAUGUACACAAAAAAAGAUUACAGAUUUUUUUUAAUUGUGCAUAAACAUAUAUCAUUUUUAUAUCCACUUUUUAAUACAUGUACCUUCAUAUAUAUAUAUAUAUUUAUUAUGUAUAUAAUAAAUAAUAAAUACAAAUUAAAUUUAAUAUUAAUCAUAUUAUAUCAAUUAAUUAAUAUAUUUCAGUAUAAUAAUAAUACAUUUUUUAUAAAUUAUAAUAAAUAAUACCAAUUUUAAUGUACAUGUAUAUGUAUAGCUAAUUCUCUAUAGCGCCUUCCUAUAAUGAACGUUUUGUAAUUUCUCGUAAAUAUUCACAAUAUAGACUUUUCAUUGUAUAACAUUAAGUAAGAAAACAUAAAAGAUUAAAAAUGUUUUUUCUCAAAACAUUAAAUUUCUUAUGGAUUCUCACUCAAACACAAAAUAAUAUAUUUUAUUAUUGUGAAAAUUAAUUAUAGUAAUUUAUAUUUUAUAUUUUUUAGGAUAUUUUGUUGUACAAAGAUGAUGGUUUUAGUAAAGUGCAAAAUUGUAUUGAAAUAGGCCAGUUAGUUUUAGCGAACACUGCACCUGAAGGACACAAAUCAAUAAAUGAAUCACUUAUAUCUUUACAAGAACAUUGGAGUAGUUUGGCAACAAAGAUGGUUGAAACCAAGGUAAAUACAUAAUAAUAUAUUAUAAUUAGUCAAAAAAUAACAUUUUUGAUUCAUUAAAUUAUAGACGAAUAUUGAUGAAUCGAUUCAACGGUGGUCAGGAUUUUUAGAACAUGUAAAGCAAGUUGGACAAAUAAUAGAUAAAUUUGAAGAAGCAUUACCUGAGUUAGAAGAAUUACAAGGAACUAUGGCUGAAAAAAGGGACCAAUUAGAGAAAUUAAAAGUACAUAUAAUUUUUAUAAAUAAAUAAUAUAAUUUUUAGUACCAUUUAGAGCUAAAUAUAUAUUUAAUUCCAAAUAAGUUAAGAAAUUAUUGGUAAAGUACUGAUGUAUUUCAAAAUGUAUAUUUUAAUCAAUUGAUAAAAUUCUAAUUUUGUUUCUUUUUUCUAUAUAGAACUCUUAAAUUAAAUCUAUUCAAAAUUAUUUAUACUAAAGUGAACUGUAGAUCCUGGUAAAAAUGUAUCUUUAUUUUGGAUUUAAUGAAAAAAUGAGUUCAUAUAAAUUAUAUAUAAUUAAUUUAAUAAUGUUAUAAAUUAAUAAUAAUUGUUAUAAAAAAAGUUAAAAAAGCUAAGGGGGGUAUGCCACUGUUGUUGGUAGGAAGUUGGGAAGAUAGGAUACAUAAAUUUAUUUAAUUUAUAUCUAUAAGGAACAAUAAACUGUUAUUAACGAUAAACAAUACGGAGAGAAGUUUGGUUAUACAUGUUUUGAAAGGCCAUAAUAUUUACAAUUUAAUAUAAAUUACACUCAAUUUUUUUUCCCACUAAGUACAACUUAAAAUGAGAAUCCUGUUAAAUCAUUAAGUAUUUUUGUUUAGUUUAAAAAUUUUAUCCACAUUUGUAGGUUUCUACAAAAUAAAAAUUAGGUUCAAAACUAGUUCAAAUGUUUUUAAAAAUGUAUAGAACAAAGUUCUGGUAGGUUUAGUUAGAGAAAAGGAAGUGUGAUGGGCUGUAGAAGCAAUGAAAAAGAAAAACAUUAAGUCCAAAUAGAGUACCAGUGGAAGUGUGGAAAAUGUUAGGGGAGUUCAGCACAAUAUGCUGGUUAAAAGAUUUGUUUUAAUUAUGUUCUACUAGAAGGAAAAAUACUAGAUGAAUGGAGAGUUUCGUAGUACUUAUAUUUAAUGGGAUAAAAAAGUUAUAAAAAGUAUGAAAAUUAUAAAGAAAUAAAGUUGUUGAAUCAUAGUAUGAAGAUUUGUGAAAGUUUAUAAAAAAAGUGAAUAAAAAGUGAAAUUAUAUAUGGCUUAUAGAUUUAGAGAAGGCAUAUGGCAUUGUACUGACAGUUUUUCUGAUAAUAGAUAAAGUAGUAGGUAGGUACUAGUUUUUACAAAAAAAUAUUAUUAUAAAUAUAGUAAGUUUAUGACAUUUUUAAUUUGCAUUUUCUUAUAUAAAAAUUAUAAGCAUUUGAUUGUUUUUUUUAGCAUUUGGAUGAAAAAGUUCGUUGUGAAAAGUUGGAAAUGGAUUCUUUGAAAUUAAAAGCACACGAGAUGCUAAAAACAGGCCAUCAAAGCAAUGCUGUUGCAGGAACACAAGAAGUAUUUGAUAAGUUUGACAGAAUUUCAGAUAAAGUGAAGGUAAAUUUAUUAUAUGUAGAUAAUUAUUCAAUUUUUUAGUUUUGUGUUUUAAUCAAUUAAAUUUAAUUUUAGAAAUUACUCAACCAACGUGAACAACAAUAUAAAGAUCAUAAAACAUAUAAGGAAGCAUAUGAAGAAUUAUCUAAUUUCUUAAACAGAUCUCGAGACAAAAUACCAUCAUUAAAAGAACGACCACUUAGUGAUAAAUUAGCUAUUGAAAAUGCCAUAAUGCCAUUAGAGGCUCUUUUGAAUAAGAGAGCUCAAGGUGAAUUACUUUUAGAUAAUUUAAAUACAAUUGGAGACAUUAUAACAGCAAGUACUUCUGAAACUGGAGAGAAAAUUAUCAAACAAGAAAUUUCUAUUAUAACUGAAGAAUUAAAAAAAUUAUUUGACGGUAUAUUAAACAAUUAGAUGUAUUAUAUUAUUAUUACUUAGGUAGGUACUGAUUUUUAUUUUUUCCAUUUAGAUAUAUUAUCUCAAAAAGAUAAUCUCCAUGCUAUUCAUACACAUUGGAGAGAGUAUAAAGAUGAGUAUGAAAAGCUUUCUGAUUGGUUGCAACAAAUUGAUAUAUCAAUGAAAGCUAUUAAAAAUACCCCAUUAGCGACUGUAGUGGAAAAAACAGAUCAAGUAGAACAAAUUCAGGUGAACUCCUUUAUAUGUUCCAUAAACUAUUAAUAAAAGGAUAACACAUAUUUUUAAACAAUGUUAAUAUUAAACAUUAGCCAUUAUUUUAUAAUUACUUUAUAACUGUAUAUUUUAAAUAGUAUAAUAUAUUUACCUGUGAUAUAGUUAUCAACAAUUUAAACACAAAAUUGAUCAAUUGUUGAAUUUAUAUUUGAUUAAAAAAAGUUAAAUUUUUUUUUAUUAUUAUUAUUUGUUUAAAAUUUAUAUUUCAUGUUUUUUUAAAAAAAUUUCUAUUCUAAUAUACAAGGUGUCUCACGAUUUAACAAAUGUAAUAACUUUUGUUUUAUUCAAUAUUUUUGCAAUACAUUUUUUUUAAAUAACAAUUAUGUCUCAGCGCUAUGGUUUAUACAUGUAAUUUUUUAUUUUUAGGGAAAAGAGGAAUUAAAAUAAAAAUUUAAAAUUUAAUUUAAAUUUUUUUAAAAAAAUUAAAAAUAGUAAUUUUGUAAAAUAGAUUUUUAGACAAUUUUUUGUGGUUAAAACUUUUGUUAAAAUAUGAUCUUUUAUUUUCUAAAAGUUUUGAAAAUUUGAAUAAUUUUCAUUUCAAUCAUAAUAAUAUUGUUUAUCAACAUAAUUUACCAUUAUUGAUUGAUUUAAACUAUUUAAUAACUAUAAUAUGAUAAUAUUAUUGCAUGAUAUUAUAUCAUGGAAAAGAAAAUCCUUGUAAUAUUGUAAUAUUCACAUUUGCAAAAACUUCAAAAAAUCGUAGAAAAUAAAAGAUCAUACUUUAACAAAAAUGUCAACCACUAAAACAAUUCUAAAUAUCUAUUUUACAAAAUGUUUAUUUUUUAUUUUUUAUUUUAAGUCUCCCUACCGCUAAAAAAAAAAAAUAUUCAUACAUAAACUGUAGUGCUGAGGCAUACUAAUUAUUUAAAAAAAAUAUAUAUCAAAAAUAUUGAAUUGAACAAAAAUUAUUGUAUUUGUCAAAUUCUUGUGGAACACUUUGUAUGUGUAGAUUUUGCACUGAUAGGAGAAAAACCUUAAUUGGUUUUCAGAAUUUUGACAUUAGUAUCAAAGCAUCUAAUUAAUCAGCUUUAAAUUUAAACAAAAUAAAAAUACCUAAAUCACUACCUAUAGAUAUUUAAUACCUAUGAUAUUUAUUUUUUUAGGAAGUGAUAAACAAUUUAGAAAAAGGUAAAUCUAAUAUUGAUAAAUUUAAUGAAAGUGCAGAUCCACUUUUAAAAUCACAUCUUGAAACUUAUGUUAAUAAUCAGUUAAGACAUCUUAACUCUCGAUAUGAAGUAAGGUUAAAUAUUUAAAAAUAUUUUCCAAUUGUAACAAUACUAAUGAAAUAUUUCAGGUACAAGUAAAUUUAGCAAAAGAUGUACAAAGAAAAGUAGAAACUAACCUUGAACACCAUUUACAAUAUGCCAAUUAUUUAGAAAAAGCUAAAACAUGGAUAAAUAAUGCAAAAGAAGCAAUUAGGUGUGGAAAUGAAACAACAGCUAAUACUAGUAAAGAAGUUUUACAAGCUCGUCUUGAUAAAAUUUUGGUAAAAGUCAAAUUUAUUUUGUAUGUAUUAAAAUAUAUUAUAUUUGAAUAGUUACUUUUUUUUAGGAAUUACUAAAAUCACAAGAAGAAGGUCAGCUAAUUAUUCAUUCCACUGUAAAUUCUGGUGAAAAAGUUCUUAGGAGUACUAGAUCUGAUGGAAAAGACUUAAUUAACAAUCAAUUAAAAGAAAUUCAAACAGAUUGGGAUAGGCUUGUAAAAAAAAUAGCUACAUCUAAAGUUCAUAUUGAAACAAGUCUUCUACAAUGGGCCGAUUACAAUUCAUCAUAUUCACAUCUAGAACAAUGGAUCUCAGAUCGCGAAGCUAAACUGGAAGAAGUUUGUGAACUUAAAGUAAAAAGACAUUUAUUCAUUAUAAUAUUUUUAUACAUAAUAAAAGUAUAGUACAAUUCUUAAAUAUGAAUAAAAUCAGAAGAUAUUAAAUUAUAUACGUUGCUUUUUUACUAUUAACAUUAAAAGAAAUUAUUUUGUUUGUGUUCAUAGGUAGUUAAUACUUAAAUUUUAAAUAUUAUUAAAAUCAAUUUUAUACAUUUUUAAAAUAUAUUUUCAAUUAGGUAACAAAAGCAAAAAAAAAUCAAACCGGAAUUGGAUCAUUGAGUAUUGGAGAACGAAAAGCAACACUACGUAGAACAAAUAGUAUUGUUCAAGAUAUUGUUUCAUUUGAACCUAUGAUUCAAAAAGUAACACUUAAGGCAGAAGACUUACAACAAGGUGUACCUGCAAAUGAAAUAACUAACAAAUAUCAUACAUUGAGUAUUAAAGCUAAAGGUCUUUAUGAAAAGCAAAAAGAAACAGUAAGAUUACAUCAAGAAUUCAUUGAUGCUGGAAAUGAUUUUGCUAUUUGGCUAAGGUCAUCUAAAGAACGUGUUAGCAAAAUAUCUGAACCAACAGGAGAUAAAGAAAUGUUGAGUGCUAAAUCUGUUCAAUUUAAGGUACCUACUCGAUAUUACAAUCUUGUUUAAAUAUUAAAAUUAUUUAUGAUUUUAUUAUUGUUCUAGGUAUUACAGAGUGAAUUACCCGAAGGACAAAAAAAAUUAGAGAUUGCUCUCGAAAGAGCAGAAAAAGCAUGUUCAUUCGCCGAUGAAGAAGAAAAAGAAAUUAUUGAACAGGAAGUAGUUAUGCUACAAGAAGAAUUUGAUAUACAUAAUGACAUACUUCAAAAAACUAAAACAUUGUUAGAAGUAAAUACAAUUUAUUAUUAGAAAUGUUACUUGUUUAUUUAAAUAUAUAUUGAUCUAUACAUAUUAUCUAUUAAUAUUUAUCUAUAUGUAUUUUUAACUUUAGGAUGGCAUUUACAAAUGGAAUGAUUUUGAUGAUUAUUCUAAAGGUGCCACAGAGUGGUUAAAUAAUACUGAGCUACUUGUACAAUCAUAUAAUAAACUACAGCCAAGUCUAGAUGGGAAAAAGGAAGCACUAGAAGAAUUUCAAACUCAAUUACAAAUGCUAUUUGACUGGCAGAAAGAAUUGGAUAUUUUAAAUGGAAAAGCACAGGUAUUCAAUUGAAAUAGUUAUUUUAAAAUAUUAUUCCUCCUUAUUAUAUUAAUAUUAAAUGUUUUUAAAUUUAGGUUCUUUUGGAAACAUGUUCUGAUACACGUUUAUCAAAUUCAAUAACCCAAAUGACAACUAAAUACAAUACAUUACUAUCCUUAGCUAAAGAAGUUAUGCGACGUUUAGAAUUACAUUAUCAAGAGCAUCAACAACAUAAUUCAUUAUACCAGGAAUGUCUAGAUUGGCUUGAAAGAACUCGAGAUAAGGUAUUUUUACUAAUAAAAAUGCACAUACAAAUUAUUAAUAAAAAAUGUUUGUUUUAAGUUAAAUGAAUGUGAAGAAAUACCAAACAGGUUAAAUGAAGUUAAAAAUAAACUUCAGAGCUUAAAGGUUAUUAGGCAAACACUUGAACAAGGUCAAAAUCGUUUAAGAUACAUAAUGGAAUUAAAAGAAAAAGUUGUACUUAACACUGAAUCUCAAGGUACUGUUAAAAUUGAAGAAGACACUGAAAAUUUAAGACAAGAAUUUGACAAACUUUCAAAUAAAAUCCAAGUAAGUAAUGAUUAAUGUUAUGUACUUAAUAAGAAUCUAAAAUGUAUAUAACUGUCAACUGUCUUUUGUAAAAGGCGUGUAACAAUAAUUUAACUUUGAGAGUAACACAACUUGAAGAAUUAGAGAAAUGUAUAAAAAUAUUAAAUGAAUGCUUGGACGAUAUAAGUUCUAAAACUAAUGGAAAUGAUCUUGAUCAACCAUUAAAUGAUUUAAGUGAAAAGAAAACAGCGUUUGAGAAAUUUAAAUCCUUACUUCGUGAACUUAAUACCCACAAUGAUUUAGUAUGUAUAAAACCAUAAACUGAAAUUUAAAACUUUAUUGACAUUUUUUAUAUAACUUAUAUUACCUAUAAAUAGGUUAAUCGCUUAUCAACCAAUAUGAAUAAUGAAUCUUCAACUCAAGAAUCAGUUACUUGUAUAUCUAGAUAUAACAAUCUUAUUACUGUGGUAAGAUAAAUUCAAAUGUUUAUUCAACAAUACAAAAACAAAAUAAAUCCAAUUAUAUAUUCUUGUAAUUUUAGAUAAACAAAAAAUUAUCUGCUAUGGAAAGUCAAGUAACGGAACAUGAAGCUUAUAGAAAUGCAUUGAUAAACAUAAAUGAUUGGUUACGAAAAACUCGAGUUUCAGUUCAAAGUUGUGCAGAUACGCAUGGUGAUUGUAAAGUUAAUGCUUCUAAAAUUAUCCAGCUAAAAGAUAUUGAAGAAUCUUCCCAGAACGGUGAAGGAAUGAUUAAAGAUAUUUUAGCACAAAUUGAAGUGCUUAAAAAUACUACUGGACCAGAAGGUUGUGAUAAAUUGAACCAAGAUAAAAAUCAAUUGAACUGUGACUGGGACGAGCUAAAGCAUUUUAUUAAGGAAGUGCAAUCGUCAUUAAAUAAAUGCGCAAAGGCAUGGGAAGACUUCAAUGUAGUAUACAAAGCAUUAAAAGACUGGGAAACAGAUCUAUCAAAUAAAGUCAACACAGCUGCUUCGUCUAACGAAACAUACACUCCAGAUGAUUUAGACCAGUACAAGCUUUGGCUACAAGAAAUUAUAAACCAAAAUGUAUCCAUUGAAGAACUUACUGACCGUUGUGAGUUAUUAAUGGAAUUAAGUGCAUGCAAUUGGGUUAGGGAUGACACACUUAAAAUACAAUCAUCAUAUACAACAUUAUUAACUACAACUCAAGGGUUAGUAUUUUAUUUCUUAAGAAUUUUAAUUAGAUCAAAUUGUUUUAUUAUCUAUACAUUUUAUAUUUUUAUAAUUCAUUAGACUUGUAUCAAAAGCAGAAAAAAGCUUGACUGAUCAUACUGAAUUUAUUGCUGCAAAAGAAAAAGUUGAAGAAUGGUUAAAUCGCGCUCAUGGUACAGUUCAAGAUUGUAUAGGCGAAGGUGAUUUAGGUUGGGUGAAGGAUAAAUUACAAACAGUAAACCUUGUUUCUUCCAGAAUAACCGAAGGUACCUAAUAAUAAGUUAUUAAAUAUUUUACAAUAACUAUUUUUUUUUUCUAUUUUUACAAUCGAAAAAAUUGUGCUAUACUAAAAUUUAACAACAAUAUUCUUUUAAUUUUAGGCCAAUAUUUAAUGAAUGGAAUGCAAGAAGUAUUUACUAAAGCAUUAAAUAACACAUUAGCUAUGGAAAGAGAUGGUUUAGUAAAUACUAUGGAAGAACUCCGUAAUAGCUGGAAUAGUUUAAACAUUAAUUUAAAUUCGGUUAUUGCACAUCUGAAAUCUCUUCAAGCUCGUUGGGAAGAAAAUAACGAAGCCAAAGAUAAUCUUGAAAAAUGGUUAAGUUCAUUGGAAUCUAAAAUAAAUGAAAAACAUGAUUUUAUAGCAGAUGUUGGUGAAAUGAAAACAUUGCUUGAAAGAUUAAAUCAUACAAUAAACGUGAUCGAUGAAAAAGAAACAGAUUUCAAUCACAUUAUCACAGAAACUGAAGAACUCUCAAAAUUUUGUAAAAAUAAUCAUUUGAAUUCUGAUAUCAAACAAUUAAAAACUAGGAAAAAUAUUCUUAAAGAAAAAACAUUGAAACAUAAAGAUAACUUAGAAAAUGAAAUUUUACAGCACUCUAAUUAUUUACUAGCACUUCAAGAAUCUGAAAAAUGGUUAUUGCAAAUAUCAUUUCAGUUGAUGGCUCAUAACUCAUUAUAUAUUACUAACAGACAACAAACUCAAGAACAAUUAAAACAUCAUCAAGUUUUAUUAAAUGAAAUAAUUCAGUAAUAAUUAUUUGUUUUAAAUAUAUAAGACUGUUAUUACUAAAUAAUAUUUGUUUGCUUAUAGGUAUCAAGAAGUAUUAGAUGAUUUAAAAUCUAAGGGAAAAACUCAAAUAAAUCGCUAUAUUGCAUCUACUCCAUCAAUUCAGUCAGUAGUGGAACGACAAUUGAAUAAUAUUCAAGAUAGUUAUAAUUCAUUGUAUAAUACUGCUCAACAAAUAAAAGCUAGACUAGAAGAAUCUCUAUUAAAAUUUAAACAAUAUGAAGACAUGUUAGAAAGUAUUUGGUCAAAUUUAGAUGGUUAUCAGCCACUUGUAAAUAAAACUAUAAAUGAAAAUUGGUCUCUUGAAGAAACCAAAGAGCAAUUAACACUUUACCGGGUAAGAAUAUAUUUUUACAAUAUUAUUAUAAUUAUAAGUAUAUACCUGCAUCUGUUUUUUUUUUUAUAUAAUAUAAAUUUUGAUUAUUGAGGUACUAAAAAUAUAACAUUAUUUUACUUUUCUAAUGUGUAUCACCUAUUGUAAUUAUCUAAAUAAUCAAAUUAAUAAUAUGAAAUAAAAUAAACUACACUGUUUGCCUAGAAAUUAUUAAACAUUGUAUUGUUUUCAAUAACUUGUCAAAAUAAUAUUGUUACAGUUAUUUUGUCUGAUUUUUAUUUAAAAAAAGUUAGGAAAGUAAAAUACAUAAAGGUAUAAAAAAAAAAAAAAUCAACAGUGAAAUAAUACAGUCCUCGCUGUGGUCUGGUUAUAACCUAAAAAAAAAAGAAUAAUAUAAAAUUUAAUAAAUAUUGUUACUAUAUUUUGUCUGUUUACUUUCUCCCUCAAAAGCAUUGAUAACAUCAUAAUACAAUGGCCUGUACCACUAAUUAUAAUUUUCCCCAAAAUUCUAAAAAUAUUCAUUAAACAAACUAUUUAAUAAUAUUUCUUUUAAACUAAUAAAUUAAAUGUAUUCUUAUAGGAUCUUCUGAAUAAAUUACAAAGUGAAAAAACUAGGUUGGCCUUAGCUGUACAAGCUUGUGAAGCAGCAGUGGCCAGUAUUUCUAGGCCUAGUAGUCCUGUAGAAUCAAAUAAUUCUCAGAUUCCCGAACAAGAAAUUGCUAUUAGAUUGCGCUUAGAAGAAUAUCUUGAUCAGGUAAGUUGUAAUGGUUUGAUAUAAUGUCGAUCAUAAGUAUUCUUUUACAUAUUAAUACUUUUUAAGUUAUUUGUUAUUAAUAUUAUAGUAAUUUGUAUUGUUAAUAAAUAAUUGUUUUUUUUUUUUUAUUUCACCUAUUUGUUUAUGUAUCUCUUAUUUAAUAAUGCUAAUGUUUUGUAGUUAAUUAUAACAAAGUAGUGUUGUUUUUAUGUUGUGUGCUAUAUAGAAAAAUAAACUAGUACCAAAAGCAUUUAAAUCAUUGCUACCAAUGCUUGAACACUUAGAAGACACAGGCAUACCUAAAAUUUUAUUUACAUUUACUGGACAUGUAAGUAAUUUUUUAAUUUUUAUCAAUACUAGAAACAAUAAUUUUUAUUUCCAGUAGGCCAUUUUAGAUAGGUUUAUAAUAAAGAUGCUUAGUAUUGCGUUAAUUUGUGUUUUUUUUUAAAUUUUUUUUUAACAAAUUUAAUAGAAUCUAAAAAUGUUUAAAAUAAAUAUAAAACCACCACUAAUUAUUACACUCAUAGGCCACUAUGAGACACUAUGGAUACUAUUUCUAAAUAAAGAAACAAUAUUAAUUUUAUUUCUUUAGGUACAAAACUUGGUAGAUGAGUUGGUUAAUAUGACAUCAGUUUUGGAAAAUAAACAAAACCAGCGCUCUAGAAUUUAUGAAUGGAUUGAAGAAGAAUUGGCUAUUUUGAAUAAAAUGAAGGAAAAACUAACUAGGAUUAAUGUAGAAACAACUGCUCAAGAAAUUAAUAAUUUAAAUGAAAUGUUACAAAAUAUUAGUGAAAAACAAAUCGAAAUAUCCGAAAUAGUAUCAGAUAAUUCAUCUGAUAAACUUUAUAAUGAUUUAAACAAUUUGACAAAUAUGGUAAAUCAAUCAAUUACAAUUUGUUUAAAUUAAUAUAUUUCUUUAUAAUAUUAAUAUUAAAUAUCAUUAUUAUAUAGUUUAUAUUAAUUUAACUUAUGAAUUAAUAUAAAUAUAUUAAAUAUAUAGUAUUAUUAUAAUAUAUGUAUAAUAAAACUAUGUAAUACAAUAAUGCAUUACACAGUGAAGUAUUAGUAUUUAAUAUUUGAAUAUUAUAGUAAAAUCAUAAAUUUGUAAAUUAAAAUGUAUAUUAUGUAUAUGAGGUCUUAUGAGAAUUAAUUUAUAAUUUCCCCUGUUUUUUAUAGACAAGUGAAAUACUUUUGAAAAAACAAUCUGAUCAAAAAUUAUUAUUAGAUUUUAAAAAUAGCGAAACAGAUUUACAAAAUUGGUUUGAUAAUUUAUCAAAAUGUAUUGAAUCCUUGGAAAAAGGUAGUGGAUAUACUUGUCAACAAAAAUUAGAACUAUUUAAUGAACUUAAAGAAAACUAUGUUAAUAAUGGAGAAAAACUUGUCAAUAGUUUAAGAACUAACUCUCAAAAUUUAAAAGUAGUAGUCAGUAUAGUAGAUGCUCAACUACUUGAAGAUCAGGUAGCCUGCUUAUUUAUUUAUAAUUUGUAUUGUAUUUUGUUAUUGAUCAGGGCCGGAUUUGACGGGGGGGCAUUAAGGGUAUAUGCUCCGGGCGCCCAAAUUUUAGGGGCCCCAACACUCAAAUCAAAAAAAAUAAAAAAAUUGCAAUUUGGGUUCUCAAACUAUAUUUAAAAAAAAAUAUAGUUUUGAAAAUAAAAAUUAUUAGGUAUAAAAUAUAAAUUAAAUUGUAUUACAAUAUACUACAGUCGUUAUUAUUGCAUUAUCACGGUGACAUAAAGUUGCGAAUUGAAUAAUUACAUGUGUAUGUUUAUAAAAAUCAUAAUGUAAUCUAUCACAAAUCACAAUGUAAAAUGUUGGAAAAUUCAAGACGUCAUAAUCAUUAUCGGCUUAUCGUUGUUUAUAGCUUUUAUGCCUUUAUUGUGAAUUAUUUAUUAUUUUGUACAUUCCACUUUUCGACUAAAUCUCGUUAUUUCAUUAUAAUCAGCCAAGAAUACUCAUGGGCCUGUACUGUAUAUAUUUUUAUUAAUAAAAUAAAUAAUAUAUUACUGUAUGACUUGUUCAAUUUAUUUAACAUAAAUAGUUAUUUUUAGUUCUAACUAUAAAUAUAUUUUACGCAUGGUAUAAGUUUAGGUAGGUAUGCAAUUUUUGUUAUGGACCAUUUAGGGCCCCAAAAUAUUUUUGCCCUGGGCCCCCUAAUGUUUAAAUUCGGCCCUGUUAUUGAUACAAUAUUUAUUGAAAUUUAUUAUACCUAUAUUUUAAAAAUUAUUAACUACAGAAUUGAAAUUAAAUUACCUAACUUAUUUUGAUUACAGAUGAAAUCGGCUGAUCGACGGUAUAGAGAUUUUUGGACAAGAAUGGAAAGAAAAUAUGAAAUUUUAGAAAAUUCAAAAACUAAUCUACUUUACGUUAGAUCUAAAAUAGAAGAAAUUGCAGAUUGGAUAAAUAAAAAAACAGAUAACUUAAAUGAAAAUAAAAUAAUAAGUUAUGAGAGUAACAUAAUUGAAAAAAAUUUGAUUGAUUUGAAAAACAUGAACAAAAAAGCAAAAACAAACAAAAUUUUCUUAACCGAUUCUCUAGCAGUCAAACUUAAUGCAAUAGAGCUUGAAUCAGAACCAAUUGAAUUCAAUGACCUUGAAGAAAAAUUGUAUAAACCCACAGUUAACAAAUUAGACAAUUUAAUAACAAGUAAUUAUAAAUAUUUUUAAUAUUAUUUUAAAAAUAAUAAUAAAUUUUAUAUUUUUGAAUAUUUUUGUUCUAGGAAUAAAUGAAAACUUAUUUAAAACUAAAAACAUGCAUGAAGCCAGUCAAAAGUUUGAAAAUACACUUAAUGAGUGUAAUCUCUGGUUAGAUCGUAGUGAAAAAGAUCUUUCACCAGAUAAAUAUAAAGUUGAACCUUUAGAAUUGAUUCAAGCAGAGAAAAAUAUUGAAG